This 442-nucleotide ribosomal RNA is filed under the name uncultured bacterium. RNAcentral's name for it is "partial 16S ribosomal RNA". It matches the Rfam family "Bacterial small subunit ribosomal RNA", at positions 338 to 795 of the family's 1533-position model. The record is from RNAcentral.
CCUACGGGGGGCAGCAGUAGGGAAUCUUUCACAAUGGGCGAAAGCCUGAUGGAGCAACGCCGCGUGCAGGAUGAAGGCCUUCGGGUUGUAAACUGCUUUCAUAAGCGAGAAAUAUGACGGUAACUUAUGAAGAAGGAUCGGCUAACUACGUGCCAGCAGCCGCGGUCAUACGUAGGAUCCGAGCAUUAUCCGGAGUGACUGGGUGUAAAGAGUUGCGUAGGUGGCAUAAUAAGUAGCUAGUGAAAUCUGGUGGCUCAACCAUUCAGACUAUUAGGUAAACUGUUAAGCUCGAGACCGUUAGGGGUAACUGGAAUUUCUAGUGUAGGAGUGAAAUCCGUAGAUAUUAGAAGGAACACCAAUAGCGUAGGCAGGUUGCUGGGACGGUUCUGACGCUAAGGCACGAAAGCGUAGGGAGCAAACGGGAUUAGAUACCCGGGUAGUC